GGUCAACAUCCAAAUCUACACCAUCUUCCCCGUUCAGUAGGUGGGACAGGUGAGGGCUCCCAGCAGCAAAUGCAUGGCAUGGUGCCAGGCAUUUUUAGGCCAUGGGAUUAGGUAAUCCUGAACCUAGUAGUAGGACCGUCGGGGCGACGAUCCGUCAGUGGGGGGGUAGAAUGUAGUGGGACGAACUUGGGUGUCUCUUUAAAUUUGUUCCAUCAGUUGUCCAAUCAUACACAUUCACGGUUCUAUAAAAGGGGACUUUUAAUGCACCGUGUUGUGCUCACCUCUUGUGCGUCAUUGCCCGAGGCCCGCCCCUUCCUGGCUUAGACUCUUCCUGUCUUGCAGUUCCCGACAUAUAACUGUCUCAUGUUGCUUGGCGACUGCUUUUAAAUGCACUCCCGCUGCAUUCCCAUACCUUCUUGCCGGUUUGAUGUCUGUUUGCGUGUGCGGCUGGACGUGUGAUCAUAGCUACAAUAAAAAGGUGGAACAGUUUUAAGGAGGACUCAUUCAGUGCAGCCUGCGGGCAAACGUAUUUUGAUGCUGCUGCUUUGUUUAUGUUGUUUCAUGUCUGUUUUGCAAUCUAACGCAGAGGCGUGAGUUGGCGCGGGUAUUGGUCCU
This is a long non-coding RNA of Cyprinus carpio (common carp), 615 nucleotides long. RefSeq lists it as uncharacterized. The transcript has 3 exons. The record is from RefSeq and is a predicted model, not a curated record. NCBI's taxonomy places the organism in Eukaryota, Metazoa, Chordata, Actinopteri, Cypriniformes, Cyprinidae.